RNAcentral lists this ribosomal RNA (816 nucleotides) under uncultured bacterium. Its description in RNAcentral is "bacterial SSU rRNA". It matches the Rfam family "Bacterial small subunit ribosomal RNA", at positions 45 to 871 of the family's 1533-position model. The record is from RNAcentral.
UGCCUAACACAUGCAAGUCGAGCGAAUGAAAUUCCUUCGGGAUGAAGACCUAACCAUCUUAGCGGCGGAUGGGUGAGUAACGCGUGAGAAACCUGCCUUUCACAAGGGAAUAGCCUCGGGAAACUGGGAUUAAUACCCUAUGAUACAACUUUUUCGCAUGAGAGGGUUGUUAAAGCGUAAAGCGGUGAAAGAUGGUCUCGCGUCCCAUUAGUUAGUCGGUGAGGUAAUGGCUCACCAAGACAACGAUGGGUAACCGGCCUGAGAGGGUGAACGGUCACACUGGAACUGAGACACGGUCCAGACUCCUACGGGAGGCAGCAGUGGGGAAUAUUGCACAAUGGAGGAAACUCUGAUGCAGCGACGCCGCGUGAACGAUGAAGGCUUUCGGGUCGUAAAGUUCUGUCCUUGGGGACGAUAAUGACGGUACCCAAGGAGGAAGCCCCGGCUAACUACGUGCCAGCAGCCGCGGUAAUACGUAGGGGGCAAGCGUUGUCCGGAUUUAUUGGGCGUAAAGGGUUCGCAGGUGGCCUUUUAAGUCAGAUGUGAAAGAUCAAGGCUUAACCUUGGUAAGCAUUUGAAACUGAAAGGCUUGAGUUAAGGAGAGGAAAGUGGAAUUCCUAGUGUAGCGGUGAAAUGCGUAGAUAUUAGGAGGAAUACCAGUGGCGAAGGCGACUUUCUGGACUUAUACUGACACUGAGGAACGAAAGCAUGGGGAGCAAACAGGAUUAGAUACCCUGGUAGUCCAUGCCGUAAACGAUGAGUGCUAGGUGUCGGGGGUCAAACCUCGGUGCCGGAGCUAACGCAUUAAGCACUCCG